GAUUAACGCUGGCGGCAUGCCUAAUACAUGCAAGUCGAACGGAAGCAGCAAUGCUUUAGUGGCGAACGGGUGAGUAACACGUAGGGAACCUACCUAUACGACGAGGAUAACUACUGGAAACGGUAGCUAAAACUGGAUAGGAUCAAUUGAGGCAUCUUGAUUGAUUUAAAGAUCCUUCGGGAUUACGUAGAGAUGGCCCUGCGGCGCAUUAGCUAGUUGGUGAGGUAACGGCCCACCAAGGCGACGAUGCGUAGCUGAGCUGAGAGGCUAAACAGCCACACUGGGACUGAGACACGGCCCAGACUCCUACGGGAGGCAGCAGUAGGGAAUUUUCGGCAAUGGGGGAAACCCUGACCGAGCAAUGCCGCGUGAACGAUGAAGGUCUUCGGAUUGUAAAGUUCUGUGAUUGGGGAAGAAUGGUAUUCUUAGGGAAUGAGGAGUACAUGACGGUACCCGAUUAGAAAGCCCCGGCUAACUAUGUGCCAGCAGCCGCGG
RNAcentral lists this ribosomal RNA (495 nucleotides) under uncultured bacterium. Its description in RNAcentral is "bacterial SSU rRNA". It matches the Rfam family "Bacterial small subunit ribosomal RNA", at positions 28 to 520 of the family's 1533-position model. The record is from RNAcentral.